RNAcentral lists this ribosomal RNA (460 nucleotides) under uncultured bacterium. RNAcentral describes it as "partial 16S ribosomal RNA". It matches the Rfam family "Bacterial small subunit ribosomal RNA", at positions 338 to 795 of the family's 1533-position model. The record is from RNAcentral.
CCUACGGGGAGCAGCAGUGAGGAAUAUUGGUCAAUGGGCGCGAGCCUGAACCAGCCAAGUAGCGUGAAGGAUGACUGCCCUACGGGUUGUAAACUUCUUUUAUAAAGGAAUAAAGUGAGGCAUGUGUGCCUUUUUGUAUGUACUUUAUGACUAAGGAUCGGCUAACUCCGUGCCAGCAGCCGCGGUAAUACGGAGGAUCCCAGCGUUAUCCGGAUUUGUUGGGAUUAAAGGGAGCGUAGAGGGGUUGUUAAGUCAGUUGUGAAAGUUUGCGGCUAAACCGUAAAAUUGCAAUUGAUACUGGCAGUCUUGAGUACAGUUGAGGUAGGCGGAAUUCGUGGUGUAGCGGUGAAAUGCUGAGAUAUCACGAAGAACUCCGAUUGCGAAGGCAGAUGACUAGACUGCCACUGACAGUGAUGCUCGAAAGUGUGGGGAUCAAACAGGAUUAGAUACCCGUGUAGUC